This 559-nucleotide long non-coding RNA is filed under the name Pan troglodytes (chimpanzee). RNAcentral describes it as "lincRNA". Lineage: Eukaryota; Metazoa; Chordata; Mammalia; Primates; Hominidae. The record is from RNAcentral.
AUCCUGUUGAGCAACCCCACAGGGUUUAGGAAGGGAGCCCGGCUGAGGUCAGAAGAGUUGGUGCCACCCUGCAGGAAGGGUUCCCAGUGACGUCUGGGUCUGCUGUGGCCGCCCCCCUCCGCCCCCGGGCUUUUGCUGCACUGGGGUCUCUGGACAUGCGCACUUGUUGUCUUCCUCCCAGAUACCAACAAGCCCUCUCCCGGCACCUGCAGAAAAAGUGGGGAAAAUCCCCGAAGAGGCAGAAACAAAACCUAGUGAGCUGAAGGAUGAGGCUGCUGAAGAGCCUGAGCUCACUUGUUGUGGCCUGACCUGUUGUGGCCUUUGUACUUAUGCUGGAAAUCCCUAAAGAUUCGUCCGGAAGGGCCGCCAGCCAGUGGAUUUCCCUGGCCCCUCAGCCCUCUGGAGCGUACGAGUUUUGGAGAACCCUCUUCCUCUGUAUAUGCUUUUGACUUUCCUGGACUGAUGUAAAAAUACUCUUUUCUUUGACCUGUUUAUUUUUAAGACACCAUGUGAUUGUGUCAGCUUAUAUUUUAUUGCUGAAGUAAAUUUUCAAAUGUUU